CACGUGGGUAACCUGCCCCAUUGACCGGGACAACCCGAGGAAACUCGGGCUAAUACCGGAUGAGCUCUCAACCCAUCAGGGUUGUGAGGAAAGGAAGCUUCGGCCUCCGCAUUGGGAUGGGCCCGCGGCCCAUUAGCUAGUUGGUGGGGUAAUGGCCUACCAAGGCUUCGAUGGGUAGCUGGUCUGAGAGGACGAUCAGCCACACUGGGACUGAGACACGGCCCAGACUCCUACGGGAGGCAGCAGUGGGGAAUCUUGCGCAAUGCGCGAAAGCGUGACGCAGCAACGCCGCGUGUGGGA
This 300-nucleotide ribosomal RNA is filed under the name uncultured Solirubrobacterales bacterium. Its description in RNAcentral is "bacterial SSU rRNA". It matches the Rfam family "Bacterial small subunit ribosomal RNA", at positions 114 to 408 of the family's 1533-position model. The record is from RNAcentral. Lineage: Bacteria; Bacillati; Actinomycetota; Thermoleophilia; Solirubrobacterales.